UACGGAGGAUGCAAGCGUUAUCCGGAUUCAUUGGGUUUAAAGGGUGCGCAGGCGGGGAUGUAAGUCAGUGGUGAAAAGCUGCCGCUUAACGGUAGUCUUGCCAAUGAUACUACAUUUCUUGAGUAUGGUUAAGGUAGGCGGAAUGUGCAGUGUAGCGGUGAAAUGCAUAGAUAUCACGAGGAACUCCGAUUGCGCAGGCAGCUUACUAAACUACUACUGACGCUCAGGCACGAAGGCGUGGGGAUCAAACAGGA
This 254-nucleotide ribosomal RNA is filed under the name uncultured prokaryote. RNAcentral describes it as "partial 16S ribosomal RNA". It matches the Rfam family "Bacterial small subunit ribosomal RNA", at positions 524 to 777 of the family's 1533-position model. The record is from RNAcentral.